Molecule: ribosomal RNA, 254 nt
Filed under: uncultured bacterium
Lineage: Bacteria
Description: partial 16S ribosomal RNA
Rfam family: Archaeal small subunit ribosomal RNA
Source: RNAcentral
UACCAGCACCCCGAGUGGUCGGGACGAUUAUUGGGCCUAAAGCAUCCGUAGCCGGUCCUACAAGUCUUCCGUUAAAUCCACCUGCUUAACAGAUGGGCUGCGGAAGAUACUAUAGGGCUAGGAGGCGGGAGAGGCAAGCGGUACUCGAUGGGUAGGGGUAAAAUCCGUUGAUCCAUUGAAGACCACCAGUGGCGAAGGCGGCUUGCCAGAACGCGCUCGACGGUGAGGGAUGAAAGCUGGGGGGAGCAAACCGG